UACGUAGGGUGCAAGCGUUAAUCGGAAUUACUGGGCGUAAAGCGUGCGCAGGCGGUUUUGCAAGCCAGAUGUGAAAUCCCCGGGCUCAACCUGGGAACUGCAUUUGUGACUGCAAGGCUAGAAUCUGGCAGAGGGGGGUAGAAUUCCACGUGUAGCAGUGAAAUGCGUAGAUAUGUGGAGGAAUACCGAUGGCGAAGGCAGCCCCCUGGGCUAAGAUUGACGCUCAUGCACGAAAGCGUGGGGAGCAAACAGG
This 253-nucleotide ribosomal RNA is filed under the name uncultured bacterium. RNAcentral describes it as "partial 16S ribosomal RNA". It matches the Rfam family "Bacterial small subunit ribosomal RNA", at positions 524 to 776 of the family's 1533-position model. The record is from RNAcentral.